RNAcentral lists this ribosomal RNA (253 nucleotides) under uncultured bacterium. Its description in RNAcentral is "partial 16S ribosomal RNA". It matches the Rfam family "Bacterial small subunit ribosomal RNA", at positions 524 to 776 of the family's 1533-position model. The record is from RNAcentral.
UACAGAGGGGGCAAGCGUUGUUCGGAAUUACUGGGCGUAAAGAGCGUGUAGGCGGCUAGGUAGGUCCGUUGUGAAAACUCGAGGCUCAACCUCGAGACGUCGAUGGAAACCAUCUAGCUAGAGUCCGGAAGAGGAGAGUGGAAUUCCUGGUGUAGCGGUGAAAUGCGCAGAUAUCAGGAAGAACACCCGUGGCGAAGGCGGCUCUCUGGUACGUGACUGACGCUGAGACGCGAAAGCGUGGGGAGCGAACAGG